CUAAAACGUUCGCCGCCUCAAACAACACAAACACACUCAAUGCCCCCCCCCUAAACCAUUCGCCCUGUCAAGUAUAGGAGAUAGAAACACACCCCGCGCGCAAUAGCUAACAAUACCGUAAGGGAACACUGAAAGACAAUUAAACACUCACGCAUAAAACAGCAGGGACCAGACCCCGUACCUCUUGCAUCAUGGUUUAACUAGCCCUAGUCAGAUAAAGUGCACUAAAACCUGCC
This 236-nucleotide ribosomal RNA is filed under the name Phyllodactylus kofordi (coastal leaf-toed gecko). RNAcentral's name for it is "partial 16S ribosomal RNA". Lineage: Eukaryota; Metazoa; Chordata; Lepidosauria; Squamata; Phyllodactylidae. The record is from RNAcentral.